ACCAUGUCUCAGUUCGGAUCGGAGUCUGCAACUCGACUCCGUGAAGCUGGAUUCGCUAGUAAUCGCGCAUCAGCCAUGGCGCGGUGAAUACGUUCCCGGGCCUUGUACACACCGCCCGUCAAGCCAUGGGAGUCGGGAGUGCCUGAAGUUCGUGACCGUCACAGGAGCGACCUAAGGCAAGACCGAUGACUGGGGCUAAGUCGUAACAAGGUAGC
Molecule: ribosomal RNA, 215 nt
Filed under: uncultured bacterium
Lineage: Bacteria
Description: partial 16S ribosomal RNA
Rfam family: Bacterial small subunit ribosomal RNA
Source: RNAcentral